AUUGAACGCUGGCGGCAUGCUUUACACAUGCAAGUCGAACGGCAGCGCGGGCUUCGGCCUGGCGGCGAGUGGCGAACGGGUGAGUAAUGCAUCGGAACGUGCCCAGUAGUGGGGGAUAGCCCGGCGAAAGCCGGAUUAAUACCGCAUACGACCUGAGGGUGAAAGCGGGGGACCGAAAGGCCUCGCGCGAUUGGAGCGGCCGAUGUCGGAUUAGCUAGUUGGUGGGGUAAAGGCUUACCAAGGCGACGAUCCGUAGCUGGUCUGAGAGGACGACCAGCCACACUGGGACUGGGACACGGCCCAGACUCCUACGGGAGGCAGCAGUGGGGAAUUUUGGACAAUGGGGGCAACCCUGGUCCAGCCCUGCCGCGUGCGGGGAGAAGGCCUUCGGGUUGUAAACCGCUUUUGUUCGGGAAGAAAUCCUCUGGGCUAAUACCCCGGGGGGAUGACGGUACCGGAAGAAUAAGCACCGGCUAACUACGUG
RNAcentral lists this ribosomal RNA (484 nucleotides) under uncultured bacterium. RNAcentral describes it as "partial 16S ribosomal RNA". It matches the Rfam family "Bacterial small subunit ribosomal RNA", at positions 28 to 507 of the family's 1533-position model. The record is from RNAcentral.